This 331-nucleotide ribosomal RNA is filed under the name uncultured bacterium. Its description in RNAcentral is "bacterial SSU rRNA". It matches the Rfam family "Bacterial small subunit ribosomal RNA", at positions 30 to 361 of the family's 1533-position model. The record is from RNAcentral.
AUUGAACGCUGGCGGCAUGCUUUACACAUGCAAGUCGAACGGUAACAGGGAGCUUGCUCCGCUGACGAGUGGCGAACGGGUGAGUAAUGCAUCGGAACGUACCCAGUCGUGGGGGAUAACGUAGCGAAAGUUACGCUAAUACCGCAUACGUCCUGAGGGAGAAAGCGGGGGACCGUAAGGCCUCGCGCGAUUGGAGCGGCCGAUGUCGGAUUAGCUAGUUGGUGGGGUAAAGGCCUACCAAGGCAACGAUCCGUAGCGGGUCUGAGAGGAUGAUCCGCCACACUGGGACUGAGACACGGCCCAGACUCCUACGGGAGGCAGCAGUGGGGAA